GACGAACCGUACGAACGUUAUUCGGAAUCACUGGGCUUAAAGGGUGCGUAGGCGGCGCGGAAAGUUGGGUGUGAAAUCCCUCGGCUCAACCGAGGAACUGCGCCCAAAACUACCGUGCUCGAGGGAGAUAGAGGUGAGCGGAACUUAGGGUGGAGCGGUGAAAUGCGUUGAUAUCCUAAGGAACACCGGUGGCGAAAGCGGCUCACUGGAUCUCUUCUGACGCUGAGGCACGAAAGCUAGGGUAGCGAACGGG
RNAcentral lists this ribosomal RNA (253 nucleotides) under uncultured bacterium. Its description in RNAcentral is "partial 16S ribosomal RNA". It matches the Rfam family "Bacterial small subunit ribosomal RNA", at positions 524 to 776 of the family's 1533-position model. The record is from RNAcentral.